CGCCCGAAGCCGAUUAUCUAACCUUUUGGAAGAAGUCGUCGAAGGUGGAAUCAAUAACUGGGGUGAAGUCGUAACAAGGUAGCCGUAUCGGAAGGGGCGGCUGGAUCACCUCCUUUCUAAGGAGA
This 125-nucleotide ribosomal RNA is filed under the name Clostridioides difficile. RNAcentral describes it as "partial 16S ribosomal RNA". It matches the Rfam family "Bacterial small subunit ribosomal RNA", at positions 1418 to 1533 of the family's 1533-position model. The record is from RNAcentral. Lineage: Bacteria; Bacillati; Bacillota; Clostridia; Peptostreptococcales; Peptostreptococcaceae.